CUCCCUCGUUGCUGACCCCGAGGUUCGAUAGUACCAAUUAGGCGAUCACCUCGCCAAGAACCAACUUCGAUGAAGCGACGGGCGGUGUGUGCAAGGAG
RNAcentral lists this ribosomal RNA (98 nucleotides) under uncultured archaeon. Its description in RNAcentral is "partial 16S ribosomal RNA". The record is from RNAcentral.